UGGGGAAUAUUGCACAAUGGAGGAAACUCUGAUGCAGCGAUGCCGCGUGAGGGAAGAAGGUUUUAGGAUUGUAAACCUCUGUCUUCAGGGACGAAAAAAGGACGGUACCUGAGGAGGAAGCUCCGGCUAACUACGUGCCAGCAGCCGCGGUAAUACGUAGGGAGCGAGCGUUGUCCGGAAUUACUGGGUGUAAAGGGAGCGUAGGCGGGAUCGCAAGUCAGAUGUGAAAACUAUGGGCUUAACCCAUAAACUGCAUUUGAAACUGUGGUUCUUGAGUGAAGUAGAGGUAAGCGGAAUUCCUAGUGUAGCGGUGAAAUGCGUAGAUAUUAGGAGGAACAUCAGUGGCGAAGGCGGCUUACUGGGCUUUAACUGACGCUGAGGCUCGAAAGCGUGGGGAGCAAACAGGAUUAGAUACCCUGGUAGUCCACGCCGUAAACGAUGAUUACUAGGUGUGGGGGGACUGACCCCUUCCGUGCCGCAGCAAACGCAAUAAGUAAUCCACCUGGGGAGUACGACCGCAAGGUUGAAACUCAAAGGAAUUGACGGGGGCCCGCACAAGCAGUGGAGUAUGUGGAUUAAUUCGAAGCAACGCGAAGAACCUUACCAGGUCUUGACAUCGUAUGCAUAGCUCAGAGAUGAGUGAAAUCUCUUCGGAGACAUAUAGACAGGUGGUGCAUGGUUGUCGUCAGCUCGUGUCGUGAGAUGUUGGGUUAAGUCCCGCAACGAGCGCAACCCUUACUGUUAGUUGCUACGCAAGAGCACUCUAGCAGGACUGCCGUUGACAAAACGGAGGAAGGUGGGGAUGACGUCAAAUCAUCAUGCCCCUUAUGACCUGGGCCUCACACGUACUACAAUGGCGUAAACAAAGGGAAGCAAAGCUGUGAAGCCGAGCAAAUCUCAAAAAUAACGUCUCAGUUCGGACUGUAGUCUGCAACCCGACUACACGAAGCUGGAAUCGCUAGUAAUCGCAGAUCAGAAUGCUGCGGUGAAUACGUUCCC
Molecule: ribosomal RNA, 999 nt
Filed under: uncultured bacterium
Lineage: Bacteria
Also listed under: 1 other name
Description: bacterial SSU rRNA
Rfam family: Bacterial small subunit ribosomal RNA
Source: RNAcentral